CAAUAGCGUAUAUUAAAGUUGUUGCAGUUAAAAAGCUCGUAGUUGGAUUUCUGGUUGAAGCGACCGGUCGGGCGUUGAUUCGUCUGCACUGGAGUCGGUUUUGGCCAUCCUCUAGGAAAGUGCGUCUGGUAUUAAGUUAUCGGGCGUAUGAUCCUGGUCUUUUACUGUGAAAAAAUUAGAGUGUUUAAAGCAGGCCUUCGCCUUGAAUACAUUAGCAUGGAAUAAUAAGAUAGGACUUUGGUCUAUUUUGUUGGUUUGCAGACCGAAGUAAUGAUUAAUAGGGAUAGUUGGGGGUAUUUAUAUUCCGAUGUCAGAGGUGGAAUUCUUAGAUUUUCGGAAGAUAAACUUAUGCGAAAGCAUUUACCAAGGAUGUUUUCAUUAA
Molecule: ribosomal RNA, 382 nt
Filed under: uncultured eukaryote
Lineage: Eukaryota
Description: partial 18S ribosomal RNA
Rfam family: Eukaryotic small subunit ribosomal RNA
Source: RNAcentral